The sequence is a transfer RNA, 104 nucleotides long. It matches the Rfam family "tRNA". From Rfam's summary of the family: Transfer RNA (tRNA) molecules are approximately 80 nucleotides in length. Their secondary structure includes four short double-helical elements and three loops (D, anti-codon, and T loops). The record is from Rfam.
GGCAACUUGGCGGAGUGGUUAACGCGAUUGACUCGAAUGUCCUAGGCUUCUCUAGGUGCGAUCAAUUUCCUUCGGGAGCGCAUGUUCGAAUCAUGCAGUUGUCG